CAAUAGCGUAUAUUAAAGUUGUUGCAGUUAAAAAGCUCGUAGUUGAAUUUUUGCUUGCCGCCGAUGUCGGAACUUCCGUACGUUCGGCGGCGUGCAUCCUUGGGUGGAACCUGUGUGGCAUUAGGUUGUCGUGCAGGGGAUGCUCAUCGUUUACUGUGGAAAAAUUAGAGUGUUCAAAGCAGGCUUACGCCGUUGAAUAUAUUAGCAUGGAAUAAUAAGAUAGGACCUUGGUACUAUUUUGUUGGUUUGCGCACCGAGGUAAUGAUUAACAGGGACAGUUGGGGGUAUUCGUAUUCCAUUGUCAGAGGUGAAAUUCUUGGAUUUCUGGAAGACGAACUACUGCGAAAGCAUUUACCAAGGAUGUUUUCAUUAA
This 373-nucleotide ribosomal RNA is filed under the name uncultured eukaryote. RNAcentral's name for it is "partial 18S ribosomal RNA". It matches the Rfam family "Eukaryotic small subunit ribosomal RNA", at positions 592 to 976 of the family's 1831-position model. The record is from RNAcentral.